This is a small nuclear RNA of Pteropus vampyrus (large flying fox), 125 nucleotides long. The record is from Ensembl. Lineage: Eukaryota; Metazoa; Chordata; Mammalia; Chiroptera; Pteropodidae.
GUGUUGUAUAAAGGAGAAAAGGUUAGCACUCCCCUUGACAAGGACGGAAGAGGCCCUCGGGUCUGACAACAUGUGUACGGUUAAAGCAUUGCCACCUACUUCGUGGUAUCUAACCACUGUUAAAA